CCUACGGGGGGCUGCAGUGGGGAAUAUUGGACAAUGGGGGGAACCCUGAUCCAGCCAUGCCGCGUGUGUGAAGAAGGCCCUCGGGUUGUAAAGCACUUUCAGUGAGGAAGAACGCCUGGUGGUUAAUACCCAUCAGGAAAGACAUCACUCACAGAAGAAGCACCGGCUAACUCCGUGCCAGCAGCCGCGGUAAUACGGAGGGUGCGAGCGUUAAUCGGAAUUACUGGGCGUAAAGCGCGCGUAGGUGGCUUGAUAAGCCGGUUGUGAAAGCCCCGGGCUCAACCUGGGAACGGCAUCCGGAACUGUCAAGCUAGAGUGCAGGAGAGGAAGGUAGAAUUCCCGGUGUAGCGGUGAAAUGCGUAGAGAUCGGGAGGAAUACCAGUGGCGAAGGCGGCCUUCUGGACUGACACUGACACUGAGGUGCGAAAGCGUGGGUAGCAAACAGGAUUAGAUACCCCUGUAGUC
Molecule: ribosomal RNA, 465 nt
Filed under: Vreelandella stevensii
Lineage: Bacteria; Pseudomonadati; Pseudomonadota; Gammaproteobacteria; Oceanospirillales; Halomonadaceae
Description: partial 16S ribosomal RNA
Rfam family: Bacterial small subunit ribosomal RNA
Source: RNAcentral